This 342-nucleotide unclassified non-coding RNA is filed under the name Hevea brasiliensis (rubber tree). Lineage: Eukaryota; Viridiplantae; Streptophyta; Magnoliopsida; Malpighiales; Euphorbiaceae. The record is from RNAcentral.
AAGACUGAAAUGAACAUUUUCAGUCCUACUAGCUUUAGUCUAAAUUAAAUGGAACUGGCAACUGAACUGAUCCAAUCUGUCUAUCACACUCAGUUUCUUCCUCAGAUUUUAUGAAAGAAACUGUGGAAAAGGCCUCCAUUAUCAACUUAAUUAAACAAAAGAAAAAGGCAUGGGAAAGUCCAAUCAUAAAAUUCCUCUGUUUUUCUCAGCAAACAAACGCACACACGUAAAAUUUAACAUCAAUUUUCAUUUCCACAAACCAUAAUGAACGUCAAAAACCAAACCAGCAAAAACGCACAUAAGUAAAAAUGUAUUUGUAUAUGUAAAUGAAAAUGGUUGAAU